UGUGAAGGCAGUAAAGGCUCAUCAGGAACAAAACAAAACAAAACAAAACAAAACAAAACAAGACAAAACAAAACAAAACAGCAUGGUCAAUGAAUGCCAAAAAAGGUCUCUACAUUAAAUCAGGCUUGUGGGACAAGACACUAUUCAAAGGAAUGGGAGAAGCACUGAUCCAGAGGUUCCAACACUGUGAUCUGCAACGAACUGGGCUUCAGUGAUCAACAGUCUCCUCAAGACUUAAUCUGUCGGGAAUUUUAUGUGCCCAUGGUCGGCUUCAUCUGUCUUCCAGACAGAGUGAUAAAAAGUGGAAUCACAGCUAAUGGAGUCCCAUGCAGGUUGCUCUGCUCACAGGAGGACAUUAGGAGGAGAGUGGAUCACUUAAUCUUUCAUCAAGGGUUUUGCUGGUUUCAUAUAACUACAACAGUUAUGUGUAUGAAUCUUGAGAAGCCAAACUGGAGAAAAAAAUAUCCAAUCUUGUUCAUCCAUGUUGUAACAUGAAGAAAUAUACUGCCUUUUUUUUUAUGGACAGAUAAUAUUCCACUGUAUGGAUGCACCACAUUUUGCAUAUCCAUUAAUCAGUUGAUGCAUAUUUGGGUCGUUUCCAAUUUUUACUACUGUAAUUCAUG
This 623-nucleotide long non-coding RNA is filed under the name Macaca fascicularis (crab-eating macaque). RNAcentral's name for it is "lncRNA (ENSMFAG00000059692.1)". Lineage: Eukaryota; Metazoa; Chordata; Mammalia; Primates; Cercopithecidae. The record is from RNAcentral.